CAGCAGCCGCGGGAAUACGGAGGGAGCUAGCGUUGUCCGGAAUUACUGGGCGUAAAGCGCACGUAGGCGGCUUUUUAAGUUAGAGGUGAAAGCCCGGAGUUCAACUCCGGAAUUGCCUUUAAGACUGGAUCGCUUGAAUCAUGGAGAGGCGGGUGGAAUUCCGAGUGUAGAGGUGAAAUUCGUAGAUAUUCGGAAGAACACCAGUGGCGAAGGCGGCCCGCUGGACAUGUAUUGACGCUGAGGUGCGAAAGCGUGGGGAGCAAACAGGAUUAGAGACCCCAGUAGUCCCUGUCUCUUAUAC
Molecule: ribosomal RNA, 301 nt
Filed under: uncultured bacterium
Lineage: Bacteria
Description: partial 16S ribosomal RNA
Rfam family: Bacterial small subunit ribosomal RNA
Source: RNAcentral